GACGAACGCUGGCGGCGUGCCUAACACAUGCAAGUCGAACGAGAUCCAUGGGAGCUUGCUCCCGGAAGAUCUAGUGGCGAACGGGUGAGUAACACGUGAGAAACCUGCCCUGGAGUGGGGAAUAACUCGGGGAAACUCGAGCUAAUACCGCAUACCCUCGGAUGGUCGCAUGGCCGACCGAGGAAAGAUUUAUCGCUCUAGGAGGGUCUCGCGGCCUAUCAGCUAGUUGGUGGGGUAACGGCCUACCAAGGCAACGACGGGUAGCUGGUUUGAGAGAACGAUCAGCCACACUGGGACUGAGACACGGCCCAGACUCCUACGGGAGGCAGCAGUGGGGAAUCUUGCGCAAUGGGCGAAAGCCUGACGCAGCAACGCCGCGUGCGGGAUGACGGCCUCGUGUGUAACGACGUUCUAGCAGGACGGAAAAGUAAGAACGGUAACCGUACG
This 447-nucleotide ribosomal RNA is filed under the name uncultured bacterium. RNAcentral describes it as "bacterial SSU rRNA". It matches the Rfam family "Bacterial small subunit ribosomal RNA", at positions 28 to 479 of the family's 1533-position model. The record is from RNAcentral.